Molecule: ribosomal RNA, 301 nt
Filed under: uncultured bacterium
Lineage: Bacteria
Description: partial 16S ribosomal RNA
Rfam family: Bacterial small subunit ribosomal RNA
Source: RNAcentral
CAGCCGCCACGGGAAUACAGAGGGUGCAAGCGUUAAUCGGAAUUACUGGGCGUAAAGCGCGCGUAGGUGGUUUGUUAAGUUGGAUGUGAAAUCCCCGGGCUCAACCUGGGAACUGCAUCCAAAACUGGCAAGCUAGAGUAUGGUAGAGGGUGGUGGAAUUUCCUGUGUAGCGGUGAAAUGCGUAGAUAUAGGAAGGAACACCAGUGGCGAAGGCGACCACCUGGACUGAUACUGACACUGAGGUGCGAAAGCGUGGGGAGCAAACAGGAUUAGAUACCCGUGUAGUCCCUGUCUCUUAUAC